Maniola jurtina (meadow brown) is the source of this 86-nucleotide long non-coding RNA. RefSeq lists it as uncharacterized. NCBI's taxonomy places the organism in Eukaryota, Metazoa, Arthropoda, Insecta, Lepidoptera, Nymphalidae. The transcript has 3 exons. The record is from RefSeq and is a predicted model, not a curated record.
AUUUUUUAGGUAGACGUUUACUUACGGCUGAAAUUAAAAACCAAUCUAUCUGUAAUGUGUUGAUAAGUUGCUCAGCAACGUUGUUU